This 253-nucleotide ribosomal RNA is filed under the name uncultured bacterium. RNAcentral's name for it is "partial 16S ribosomal RNA". It matches the Rfam family "Bacterial small subunit ribosomal RNA", at positions 524 to 776 of the family's 1533-position model. The record is from RNAcentral.
UACGUAGGGGGCUAGCGUUGUCCGGAAUCAUUGGGCGUAAAGAGCGUGUAGGCGGUCCGGUAAGUCCGCUGUGAAAGUCGGGGGCUCAACCCUCGAAUGCCGGUGGAUACUGUCGGGCUAGAGUACGGAAGAGGCGAGUGGAAUUCCUGGUGUAGCGGUGAAAUGCGCAGAUAUCGGGAGGAACACCAAUUGCGAAGGCAGCUUGCUGGGACGGUACUGACGCUGAGGCGCGAAAGCGUGGGGAGCAAACAGG